ACUGAGUGGCGGACGGGUGAGUAACGCGUGAGCAACCUGCCCUUCGGAGGGGGAUAGUGUCUGGAAACGGACAGUAAUACCGCAUAACGUAUUUUUACCGCAUGAUAGAAAUACCAAAACUGAGGUGCCGAAGGAUGGGCUCGCGUUGGAUUAGAUAGUUGGUGGGGUAACGGCCUACCAAGUCAACGAUCCAUAGCCGGACUGAGAGGUUGAACGGCCACAUUGGGACUGAGACACGGCCCAGACUCCUACGGGAGGCAGCAG
RNAcentral lists this ribosomal RNA (264 nucleotides) under uncultured bacterium. RNAcentral describes it as "partial 16S ribosomal RNA". It matches the Rfam family "Bacterial small subunit ribosomal RNA", at positions 90 to 354 of the family's 1533-position model. The record is from RNAcentral.